AGUUAAACAGUACGUGAAAUUGUUGAAAGGGAAACGAUUGAAGCCAGUCGUACCUUCGGGUAAUCAGCCUUUCGGGUGCGAUUAUGUGGAGUGUGAGGAGCUUAACACCUUCAUGCUUUGCAUAUUCGUGCUCUUGGGUGUACUUGCUCGUAUGGUUGGUUAACAUCAAUUUUGGUGGUCAUAAAAUGACUGGAGGAAUGUAGCUUCGAUCUCGUAUUGAAGUGUUAUAGCCUUCGGUAGAUGUGAUGACUGAGAUUGAGGAUUGCAACGGAUACCCUUCGGGGCUACCUGUCUGAUCUCUGAUCGUUGCUCUGGUGCCGAAAGCUUGCUUACGGUUGUCAAAGUCGAUGGUCAAUAGGUUAGAAUGGGUUAAAUUCGUUAAGGAUGUUGACGUAAUGGCUUUAAA
This 406-nucleotide unclassified non-coding RNA is filed under the name uncultured Rhizophagus. RNAcentral's name for it is "sequence contains 28S rRNA gene". The record is from RNAcentral. Lineage: Eukaryota; Fungi; Glomeromycota; Glomeromycetes; Glomerales; Glomeraceae.